This is a long non-coding RNA of Agrilus planipennis (emerald ash borer), 858 nucleotides long. RefSeq lists it as uncharacterized. Lineage: Eukaryota; Metazoa; Arthropoda; Insecta; Coleoptera; Buprestidae. The transcript is spliced from 2 exons. The record is from RefSeq and is a predicted model, not a curated record.
CACGUUGUUAGUCGGUGAUUGUAUCAACGCUUUCUUUUUAACACGCGGUCUGGAUGGUCUUCAUCCAGAUCCGUUUUUCAUAUUUUUUCCGAAUUUGUGUUAAAUACUGGUAUUUAUAGUAAAGAACUAACUCGUUAAUCAUUCAAACAACAGAUUCGGUCAGUUUGUUUGUGUCCUUCCUGUAGAAUAUCUUGUAAUUAUGUCCGAUCAAAACUUUGUAAAUAAUAGAAAAAUGGCUAGUUGUGAUCUUUCAUUAUCAUAUAGUAGCAAGUGUCGAUUCUCGUAUACCUCAUGGUCUUGGUGUCCAACCUGUGAUAAAGAAUCGCCUCGUCGAAGGUGUAGAAGUGAAUCAUUAGAGCCUUGCCGUAGAAAGGGUAAGGAAAUGAAAAAUUUUUCCCCUAGAAAAUACGAAAAGAAUCGAGAGUAUGAGAACAUGGAUUUAGAGUAUGAAAAUAAAGACUUUCGCUUUGAUAGCUGCCGUAUCAGAUCAAAUUUAUGUGAGUUGCCAACCACUUACAUUUCAAACAACUGCCAAUUGACAAAAGUAGUCUCAGAGUGUCAAAACGACUACAGUGACAGUUCAGAAAAAAGUUCAAAAAUUUACGAAAACUCAUUCAAGUCAUUUGAUGUUCGUAAUCAGACUUUAAAUUUUGGUAAUAUGUUAGAAAAACAGGACAAAGACAAAAAAGCACUUGCAAAAGAGGAAGAGGGUAAUAAGAGUUUGAAAAGUAUCAACAAAAUCAGUUUUUCAGUUGAUCAUGUUAAGCCCCACUUUCUACCAAAAAGCGCCGAUUGCAACCGGCAAUCACACUCAACCGGUGUCGCUAAAGUAAAUUCUCUGAAUGGCUUUUAUUCUGG